GACGAACGCUGGCGGCGUGCUUAACACAUGCAAGUCGAACGAGAGCGUAGAGAAAGCUUGCUUUUUCUACAAUCUAGUGGCAAACGGGUGAGUAACGCGUAAACAACCUGCCCUACGGAUGGGUACAACAGCUGGAAACGGCUGCUAAUACCGAAUACGUUCCGAAAGUCGCAUGACUAUCGGAAUAACGGAUUGCCUCUAUUUAUAAGCUAUCUCCGGAUGAGGGGUUUGCGUCUGAUUAGCUAGUUGGAGGGGUAACGGCCCACCAAGGCGACGAUCAGUAGCCGGUCUGAGAUGAUGAACGGCCACAUUGGGACUGAGACACGGUCCAGACUCCUACGGGAGGCAGCAGGGCGGAAUCUGCCGGAAGGGGCGAAAGCCUGAGGGAGAAACGCCGCGUGAGUAAAGACGGCCGUCGGGUUGUAAAGGUCUGUUAUACGGGACGAAUAAUCUUGUGGUUAAUACCAAGGGGAAGUGACGGUACCGGAAGAGAAAGCAACGGCUAACUACGUG
This 513-nucleotide ribosomal RNA is filed under the name uncultured bacterium. RNAcentral's name for it is "partial 16S ribosomal RNA". It matches the Rfam family "Bacterial small subunit ribosomal RNA", at positions 28 to 507 of the family's 1533-position model. The record is from RNAcentral.